RNAcentral lists this ribosomal RNA (253 nucleotides) under uncultured bacterium. RNAcentral's name for it is "partial 16S ribosomal RNA". It matches the Rfam family "Bacterial small subunit ribosomal RNA", at positions 524 to 776 of the family's 1533-position model. The record is from RNAcentral.
UACGUAGGGUGCGAGCGUUAAUCGGAAUUACUGGGCGGAAAGCGUGCGCAGGCGGUUUGGUAAGACAGAUGUGAAAUCCCCGGGCUUAACCUGGGAACUGCAUUUGUGACUGCCCGACUGGAGUGCGGCAGAGGGGGAUGGAAUUCCGCAUGUAGCAGUGAAAUGCGUAGAUAUGCGGAGGAACACCGAUGGCGACGGCAAUCCCCUGGGCCUGCACUGACGCUCAUGCCCGAAAGCGUGGGGAGCAAACAGG